UGGGGAAUAUUGGACAAUGGCGCAAGCCUGAUCCAGCAAUGCCGCGUGAGUGAUGAAGGCCUUAGGGUUUUAAAGCUCUUUCCACGCGACGAUGAUGACGGUAGCGUGAGAAGAAGCCCCGGCUAACUUCGUGCCAGCAGCCGCGGUAAUACGAAGGGGGCUAGCGUUGUUCGGAAUUACUGGGCGUAAAGGGCGCGUAGGCGGCCUGUUUAGUCAGAAGUGAAAGCCCCGGGCUCAACCUGGGAAUAGCUUUUGAUACUGGCAGGCUUGAGUUCCGGAGAGGAUGGUGGAAUUCCCAGUGUAGAGGUGAAAUUCGUAGAUAUUGGGAAGAACACCGGUGGCGAAGGCGGCCAUCUGGACGGAACACUGACGCUGAGGCGCGAAAGCGUGGGGAGCAAACA
This 401-nucleotide ribosomal RNA is filed under the name uncultured bacterium. Its description in RNAcentral is "partial 16S ribosomal RNA". It matches the Rfam family "Bacterial small subunit ribosomal RNA", at positions 355 to 774 of the family's 1533-position model. The record is from RNAcentral.